GAUGAAGAACGUAGCGAAAUGCGAUAAGUAAUGUGAAUUGCAGAAUCCCGUGAACCAUCGAGUCUUUGAACGCAAGUUGCGCCCGAAGCCACUAGGCCGAGGGCACGCCUGCCUGGGCGUCACACGUCGUUCCCCCCCCAUCUACUCCUUCGGGAUUGCAGGGGGCGGAUGAUGGCCUCCCGUGCGCCUCGCCGCGCGGUUGGCAUAAAUACCAAGUCCUCGACGACGCACGCCACGACAAUCGGUGGUUGCGAAACCUCGGUUGCCCGUCGUGUGCGUUCGUCGCGCAUCGAGGGCUCGAAAAAAUGCUCGGCUCCGGCUCGGCUUUCAACGCGACCCCAGGUCAGGCGGGGUUACCCGCUGAAUUUAAGCAUAUCAAUAAGCGGAGGA
RNAcentral lists this unclassified non-coding RNA (390 nucleotides) under soil metagenome. RNAcentral's name for it is "partial contains 5.8S ribosomal RNA, internal transcribed spacer 2, and large subunit ribosomal RNA". The stretch from base 1 to 122 matches the Rfam family "5.8S ribosomal RNA", at positions 35 to 154 of the family's 154-position model. The record is from RNAcentral.